CUCAACUUCAAGGAGGGGCUGCAAAGAGGAAUCUCAUUGUCCCAUCAGAACUUGGCUCAGUCUGCAGUGAUGAUGGAGAAGGAACUGCAUCAGCUGAAGAGAGCCAGUUAUGCCAGUACAGAUCAGCCAUCCUGGAUGGAACUUGCCAGAAAGAAAUCUCAAGCUUGGAGUGACAUGCCCCAGAUUAUAAAAUAGGUGGGCAGUGUGCUGAUAAAGCAUGUCCACUACCCUGACAAGCCACUUAGUUAAAAACUGCCAGUGUAUUGUGGCAAACAAACUGUGAAACUUAAAGAUUGAUUUUAUCAUCAAGUUAUGACGAACUUGGGGAAGAGGAAGGAACCAGGCAAAACAAAGAGGAUAAACACACAGCCAUACUCCUGGGCCAGAGGGCCCAGAAACAAGAACAACAUUGAAAAAGUCCAGGAACCAGUUCCUGUGCCCAAAGGUACGAAUGUGUCUUUUCGAAUUCCCUUGAUAAAGAAGCCUCAGACAAGGAAGAAAAUAGAAAUGAAAUUGGACACAUAAAUAGGACACCCAGCAAAGGCCAGAAGAGAAGCCCUUCUAGGAGAAGGGACAUCUGUGCUUCCAGCUGAGAUCAGCCCAUGUCUCUGGUCGCUCUCUUGCCUGUGGAUCCUGUCUUCUUUCAUGUUUACUACGAGGCAUGACAUUCAUGGCAAAACAGGGAUGCCGUUUCCAAGAGCAGCUAUAAAACAAUCUGUUUUCCUAAAGACAGCCACUCUGAGAAGGAGAUGAAGGAACACGGCAGGGUUCAUCAAUUCAUAGACUGUUUCCAAAAAUAAUUUUUAAACUUUUCCACUAGGCAUCUGUGUCUUUAACCACUGCACAAUGCAUUGCCUGUUUAAUAAAAGGUUUCAAACA
Molecule: long non-coding RNA, 879 nt
Filed under: Homo sapiens (human)
Lineage: Eukaryota; Metazoa; Chordata; Mammalia; Primates; Hominidae
Description: HSALNT0036306
Source: RNAcentral